AAAGCCUCUAGCGAGUGUCAUUAUGGCCCGUACCCUAAACCGACACAGGUAGUCAGGUAGAGAAUACUAAGGCGAUCGGGUGAACUGUGGUUAAGGAACUCGGCAAAAUGCCCCGUAACUUCGGGAGAAGGGGGACCAUUGUUGGUGACAGACUGAUGGAGCUGACGGUGGUCGCAGAGAAUAGAGGGAAGCGACUGUUUAUUAAAAACACAGUCCGUGCGAAAACGUGGAAGUUGA
Molecule: ribosomal RNA, 237 nt
Filed under: Corynebacterium ulcerans
Lineage: Bacteria; Bacillati; Actinomycetota; Actinomycetes; Mycobacteriales; Corynebacteriaceae
Description: partial 23S ribosomal RNA
Rfam family: Bacterial large subunit ribosomal RNA
Source: RNAcentral